GAUACCCCACUAUGCUCAGCUCUUAACAUAGACAGUAUUAACACAAGACUGUCCGCCAGAGGACUACAAGCGAAAAGCUUAAAACUCCAAGGACUUGGCGGUGCUUCAAACCAACCUAGAGGAGCCUGUCCUACAAUCGAUACCCCACGUUUUACCUUACCCCCCCUAGAAAAUCAGCCUAUAUACCGCCGUCGUCAGCCUACCUUAUGAAAGGAGUAAAGUAAGCAAAAAAGUUAUUUACUAACACGUCAGGUCAAGGUGUAGCAAAUGGGGCGGCAGAGAUGGGCUACAUUUUUUCAAAGAAAAAACACGAAUAGAACGUUGAAACACACACUUAAAGGAGGAUUUAGUAGUCAAAUAAAAAAGAAAACCUAUCUUAAACCUGCUCUGAAGCGCGCACACACCGCC
Molecule: ribosomal RNA, 408 nt
Filed under: Sphenomorphus diwata
Lineage: Eukaryota; Metazoa; Chordata; Lepidosauria; Squamata; Scincidae
Description: partial 12S ribosomal RNA
Rfam family: Bacterial small subunit ribosomal RNA
Source: RNAcentral